CCAAUAGCGUAUAUUAAAGUUGUUGCAGUUAAAAAGCUCGUAGUUGAAUUCCGGGAUCAAUAUGUCGGUCGUGCUUCGGUACGUACUGGCGUUAUUGGUUUCUCCCUUCUGAAGAACCGCGAUGUCAUUAAUUUGGUGUCGUGGGGAAUCAGGACUGUUACUUUGAAAAAAUUAGAGUGUUUAAAGCAGGCUCGCGCUUGAAUACAUUAGCAUGGAAUAAUGAAAUAGGACGUUUGAUUCUAUUUUGUUGGUUUCUAGGAUCGACGUAAUGAUUAAUAGGGAUAGUUGGGGGCAUUAGUAUUCAAUUGUCAGAGGUGAAAUUCUUGGAUUUAUUGAAGACUAACUACUGCGAAAGCAUUUGCCAAGGAUGUUUUCAUUAAUCAAGAACGAAAGUUAGGGGAUCGAAGACGAUCAGAUACCGUCGUAGUCUUAACCAUAAACUAUGCCGACUAGGGAUCGGAUGAUGUUAAUUUUUUAAUGACUCAUUCGGCGCCUUACG
Molecule: ribosomal RNA, 499 nt
Filed under: uncultured Glomeromycotina
Lineage: Eukaryota; Fungi; Glomeromycota
Description: partial small subunit ribosomal RNA
Rfam family: Eukaryotic small subunit ribosomal RNA
Source: RNAcentral